CUAGGACGAACGCUGGCGGCGUGCCUAAUACAUGCAAGUCGAACGGUCUUUCUAUGGAAGCUUGCUUCCACUGAGAAGAUAGUGGCGAACGGGUGAGUAACACGUGGGUAACCUGCCCAUAAGAGGGGGAUAACAUCCGGAAACGGGUGCUAAUACCGCAUAGUUUUCUUGGUCGCAUGAUCGGGAAAGGAAAGACGGCCUUUGUGCUGUCGCUUAUGGAUGGACCCGCGGCGUAUUAGUUAGUUGGUGAGGUAACGGCUCACCAAGACGAUGAUACGUAGCCGACCUGAGAGGGUGAUCGGCCACAUUGGGACUGAGACACGGCCCAAACUCCUACGGGAGGCAGCAGUAGGGAAUCUUCCGCAAUGGACGAAAGUCUGACGGAGCGACGCCGCGUGAGUGAAAGAAGGUUUUCGGAUCGUAAAACUCUGUUGUCAGAGAAGAACAAGUUGGAGAGUAACUGCUCCAGCCUUGACGGUAUCUGACCAGAAAGCCACGGCUAACUACGUGCCAGCCGCCGC
This 521-nucleotide ribosomal RNA is filed under the name uncultured bacterium. RNAcentral describes it as "bacterial SSU rRNA". It matches the Rfam family "Bacterial small subunit ribosomal RNA", at positions 26 to 518 of the family's 1533-position model. The record is from RNAcentral.